RNAcentral lists this transfer RNA (56 nucleotides) under Clarias batrachus (walking catfish). RNAcentral describes it as "partial tRNA-Thr". The record is from RNAcentral. Lineage: Eukaryota; Metazoa; Chordata; Actinopteri; Siluriformes; Clariidae.
UCUAAAAGCAUCGGUCUUGUAAUCCGGAGAUCGAAGGUUAAAAUCCUUCGUAGCGC